CAAGUCGAACGAAGCGUAGGACCGGAGAUUCGUCGAAGGACCGUAGUGACUUAGUGGGCGGACGGGUGAGUAAUGGUAUGAGCAACCUGCCUUUCAGAGGGGGACAACAGUUGGAAACGACUGCUAAUACCGCGUAACGUAUCGUGGGGGCAUCCUCGUGAUACCAAAGGAGCAAUCCGCUGAAAGAUGGGCUCAUAUCUGAUUAGCUUGUUGGCGGGGUAACGGCCCACCAAGGCGACGAUCAGUAGCCGGACUGAGAGGUUGAACGGCCACAUUGGGACUGAGAUACGGCCCAGACUCCUACGGGAGGCAGCAGUGGGGAAUAUUGGGCAAUGGGCGAAAGCCUGACCCAAGCAACGCCGCGUGAAGGAAGAAGGUCUUCGGAUUGUAAACUUCUUUUAUGAGGGACGAAGGACGUGACGGUACCUCAUGAAUAAGCCACGGCUAACUACGUGCCAGCAGCUGC
Molecule: ribosomal RNA, 466 nt
Filed under: uncultured bacterium
Lineage: Bacteria
Description: bacterial SSU rRNA
Rfam family: Bacterial small subunit ribosomal RNA
Source: RNAcentral